UACGUAGGGAGCAAGCGUUGUCCGGAAUCAUUGGGCGUAAAGCGCGCGUAGGUGGCCUCAUAAGUCCGCUGUGAAAGUCAAAGGCUCAACCUUUGAAAGCCGGUGGAUACUGUGAGGCUAGAGUACGGAAGAGGCGAGUGGAAUUCCUGGUGUAGCGGUGGAAUGCGUAGAGAUCGGGAGGAACAUCUGUGGCGAAGGCGACUACCUGGACCAGCACUGACACUGAGGCACGAAAGCGUGGGGAGCAAACAGG
RNAcentral lists this ribosomal RNA (253 nucleotides) under uncultured bacterium. RNAcentral's name for it is "partial 16S ribosomal RNA". It matches the Rfam family "Bacterial small subunit ribosomal RNA", at positions 524 to 776 of the family's 1533-position model. The record is from RNAcentral.